CGGGGCCGCCUGCGAGGGGUCCACGUGCCCAGUGCAAUCACCUGCACUGCGGCGGCCAGAAGCAGUCCCUGAAGGGCGUCGCAGGUUUGGGGUCGCUCCACGUAUUCUUAGCAGCAAGGCCAAGGAAGGGAGUGUGUAAAGGUGAUGGAUAAAUGCUCCCACAAUUCCUCUCAUGAACCAGGAAUCUUGUCUUAUUUAAUUACAGGUAGCGCUGACAAAUUGCAUCAAGUGUCUAAAUGCAUUAGUGAACAAACGAAUGACUUUUCCUGCACACUCGCAAUUUCAGAUAUUGCACCGUUGUCAAAUUGUAUGCUGCGAUGGGGUUCGUAAGCAUGGAUACCCCCAGCUCCUUCCAUUGCCCACUCUCCAUACAUGAGGUGGACUGCAGUGGAGAAAGCAGGGAGCACUCAAGGAGAGUGAAGAGCAUCCCGGGUUCUAGAGGCAGAGGAUAGCAGCAGGCUGAGACCAGAGGCCAGACACCACCUACCCCCAAAGAGGAGGCAGUUACUCUCUGGCCAGCCUGGUGUUGCUACACACUCCAGACUGGGCUGCUGCGGGAGCCUCCUGGUGGGAGCUGUGAUUCACAGGCACCCCCAGGGCCCAUGCCCAGGCUGGCUCAGAGGCACAGUCCUGUUGGCCCAGAUGCAGAGGAUGGGACCACCUGGGUACAGGCCUGGCAGACCCUGCUGGGUGUUUUGGGGAAAUGUGUUUGAGCUUGAUAACAACAGUGAGUACCACUGAGGGUGACGCCCUGUGACACUGCCUGGCAGGGAACCAGGGUGUGCUUGGAUCUCUGGCUCUGCUCCACAACUGCACAUUGGAGCUCUUGAAGCCUCAAAAACACUGACGGCCAAAAAUGACCUGAAUGUGCAUGAAUGGGCAGAAAGAUAAACAUAACUUGAUCCACCCAUAUAGCUUUCCAUUUACAGAAGAGAGGGUUCUGACCCAGGCUACGUGGGUGAGCCCAGAGGACCCAUGCUCAGUGAAAUAAGCCCACACAGGACAAAUACUGCAUGAUCCCCCUCCUCUGAGGCCCCCAGAGGGGCUGGAUUCAUAGACGGGGAGGGCAGUGGUGGUGCCAGGUUGCUGGGGG
This 1093-nucleotide long non-coding RNA is filed under the name Marmota monax (woodchuck). The record is from RNAcentral. Lineage: Eukaryota; Metazoa; Chordata; Mammalia; Rodentia; Sciuridae.